Astatotilapia calliptera (eastern happy) is the source of this 1991-nucleotide long non-coding RNA. The record is from Ensembl. NCBI's taxonomy places the organism in Eukaryota, Metazoa, Chordata, Actinopteri, Cichliformes, Cichlidae.
AGAACCCAGUGCGUGCUUCCGAUGCAGGGAAAACCAAUUCUGCAGGGGAGACCUACCUUGGCACUUGCGCAGGUGAAGCCAAAGGGAAGAUAUGCUUCACCAUAUUUUCUAGUCUUUGGCUUAGAAGAAAGAUGGUUUGGAAACAUAUUUGGCGAUGCUUCAUCUCCUGCUUUGCGUUUGUGUGGAAGCCUUGUCAAAAACCUGUCAAACCUGUCAAAAGCUGUGUCCAAGCGUUCUUUUUUUAUUUUUUUAUUUCUCUUUUCAUACCCCCCCCCCCACACACACACACACACAAUGGCUCUGCGUCCCCCCCUAGGGGAUAGGCCCCACACUUUGGGUACCUCUGCCUCAAAAGGUUGAUUCUGUUCAUCUGGACGUUUUCAGUGGGAGAAACAUUUGAUCACUUAUCCAAGUGACUUCUUCAGUCUCAGCUGAUUUCAGGUUUCCCCAAUCUUAUAAACAGUACAUUUCCACAAUGACUGAAACUUAGCAGCACUGAAUGAACAAUGGGAUGUGAGCUCAGUUACUUGAUCAAAUUACUUGCAAAUUCUCAUGACCAUUGAUCAAAGAGCAUCGAUCAAUGGUUCUUUGGACUGGUAAGCAGCGGAUGACUUCCUCCACAGCAGAUCUGCUCCUCCAGUCCACACCUCACCUGCAUCUUUUUUAGCAGCAUUGUGGGCUAAAGCAGAGGAACCUGUACCCCCAGUUUCCUUUGCUUCUGUUGCAUCCUCUGGUUUUUCUGCUCCCGCUCCUCUUGGCUUCCUCUGCACUGGUUUCUUAGGCACCUUCUGCAUUCUCUGCUCCCUCAUCAAGGAGGAAAUGGCAUCCUCAUCAUCAACUGUUCUCUCAACCAUUGGCAUCAGCUGCCUUGGUCUGUCUGCUGGCACAGGGCUGACGGAUUACACUGUUUUGAUGCACAAGGGAUCUCUCGAGUGGAAGGUCCAAAUCAGAUGGAGGGUAGGGAGAAAAUCUGCAGUCCAGAUCAGAACGGACAGGCAUCAAAUUGGUGAUCAAUAUACUGGGAACUGCCAAAAUAGGAUGUACUCCGAAAGGGACUUUUACCUUUCUGGCAUUUCACAAUGCACAUGGAAAAAUUUGACCAUCCACAUCUCAACUUUUGUUCUCGCCUUUUCUCAACCUUGCAUGGCUCCAGAGCAGCAAAUUCAGCCACCGAGUUGGAGUUGGUCCCCACCUCUAACACCAAAUGAGAAAAGGACACCUGCUUUGAGCUUUACUGAUGUCAAUCCACCUGAACCACAGAAAAUGAUAGUUCAGCACACAGUGCGGCCUGAUGAUGCAACAACGCAGUUGUACACUUCCCCAAGGCUCAGGCCCUUUUCUUGGCGUUGCCCUCAUUCCUUGAAGGAUAUCAAACAGCCAGACCUCCAGAAGUCAUGGAGGCUUCUAGAAAGCCUCCAUGACUUAUCAUGUCCUGCUAUUGACAUGAUAAGAUACAAGUGUGUACUUGAUUGCCAAGUUUGAAGUUGAAGAUGGGGGAUGACCUCUUUGCAAAGUAUCUCAACACCAUGCAAAACCAAAACCAUAGCGAGGAGUCCUUAGCCUACCUACCAUAACAAGAAAAUCAACCUCUGUGGUAGAAGAGUUCAGGUAGCUGCUCUGCUCUGUGCCAUGGUAUUGAAGAAGAUAACAGUGGAUGAUAUAUAUCCUUAAAUUUAGUUACAGCACUUUCAGAAAGACAUCUACUGUGAUAAAGUCUACUCUCCACUGCUGUGUAAUCAAUUAUUGUAAAUGUAAAUGUUAUCAGGAAAUGAUCAGACAGGAGAGGGUUUUCAGGAAACACUGUUAAAUGUUCAGUUUCUAUGCCAUAUGUUAAAACAAGAUCUAGAGUGUGAUUAAAGUGGUGGGUGGGUUCUUUUACAUUUUGACAGAAGCCAAUUGAGUCUAAUAACAGAUUGAAUGCUGUGUUGAGGCUGUCACUUUUAGCAUCUACGUGAAUGUUAAAAUCACCCACAGUAAUUAUUUUAUCUGAG